UGGGAAGCACUUCCUUCACAACUUCACUUUCAAGAUGAUGCUCAGACUCUCUGCUCUGGUGACAGUGCUCUGUCUACCCUGUUUAAAUGGUCAGGCUUUGGAGUCCAUUCCCUCCACGUCAGUGUUGAAAAAGCCUCAGGAAGCCCUCAGUCUUUCCUGUAGAGGGUCUGGUUUUGACUUUGGCCAGUAUGGAAUGCACUGGAUCAGACAACCAGCAGGAAAGACGCUAGAAUGGAUGGGAGCAAUCUGGUAUGAUGCAAGUAAAACUGUUUAUGCCAGCAGUGUGCAAGGACGUAUAGAAAUCACCAGAGACAACAGCAACAGCAUGGUGCAUCUGAGCCUUUCCAACCUCAAGCCAGAGGACUCUGCUGUCUGUUAUUGCACUGGAGAGCCAUAG
Pundamilia nyererei is the source of this 397-nucleotide non-coding RNA. Lineage: Eukaryota; Metazoa; Chordata; Actinopteri; Cichliformes; Cichlidae. The record is from the annotation of a RefSeq genome assembly.